Vidua chalybeata is the source of this 402-nucleotide long non-coding RNA. RefSeq lists it as uncharacterized. The record is from RefSeq and is a predicted model, not a curated record. The transcript has 2 exons. Lineage: Eukaryota; Metazoa; Chordata; Aves; Passeriformes; Viduidae.
CAGGCUGCACAUUUGCUGUCACUUGUUGCCAAGAGUGCCAGUCCUACUGUCCAUCCCAGUACUGCCUUCCCAGUCCCAGCCACUGUGACAGCACCAGUAUGCUCGCUGUGGAGCAGCUGAGUGACGCACUCUGUCAAAAGCGGGAUUUUUUGGCCAAGUGAGUCUGCAGCUUGGUGAGAUUCUUGAUCUAGCCCCUGAGACAGUGGUGUCAGUAUUGAUGCAGGCCCAAGGGAUGAGCAGAAUCCUGUACCAGGAUCCCUUUUGGUAUCUUCUGCAGAUCAGGACACCAGAUGCUGGGGCUUCCAAUGAGUUAUUUCUGUGUUGUAUGGUUGCCUUGUUUUUCUUUUCUGCUCCCAUUUCAGGAAAGAUGCCUGCUCUAAAAAUAUAGAAUAUAGCUCCAGA